RNAcentral lists this ribosomal RNA (399 nucleotides) under uncultured bacterium. Its description in RNAcentral is "bacterial SSU rRNA". It matches the Rfam family "Bacterial small subunit ribosomal RNA", at positions 355 to 744 of the family's 1533-position model. The record is from RNAcentral.
GGGGGAAUAUUGGGCAAUGGGCGAAAGCCUGACCCAGCGACGCCGUGUGGGCGAUGAAGGCCUUCGGGUUGUAAAGCCCUGUCGGAUGGGAAGAAGGGUCCGGAGGUGAAUAAUCUCCGGAUUUUGACGGUACCAUCGGAGGAAGCACCGGCUAACUCCGCGCCAGCAGCCGCGGUAAUACGGAGGGUGCAAGCGUUGUUCGGAAUUACUGGGCGUAAAGGGCGCGUAGGUGGUUCUGUAAGUCAGAUGUGAAAUCCUUCAGCUCAACUGGAGAACUGCAUCUGAUACUGCAGGACUAGAGUGCAGGAGAGGGAAACGGAAUUCCAGGUGUAGAGGUGAAAUUCGUAGAUAUCUGGAGGAACACCGGUGGCGAAGGCGGUUUCCUGGCCUGACACUGAC